CUUAUCCAACAAGCUGUCACCUUCAGUGUACUAAUCUUAAUGCAACAGCUGUUUUAUUUGCUCUACUGUGUAAUGAAUACCUUUUUUUUUUUUUUUUUCUGUGCUCCCUCUACGGUGUUACGAUGUUAGAAACUGUGAGGAUAGCAGUCUUGCUAUGUACACAAAAGCAUGUGUUAAUUGUUUCUAGGUGUGUUCUCUUAAAAAAAAAAAAAAAAAAAUAGAAUAAGGCUAUGUAAGUGUUUUGUUUCCAUCUGUUAUCUGUCAUUGGUUUUCAUGUUUUGUAUGACCAUGGUGUCUUUUGAUACAGGGAUAUUCCUGCACUGAGCUUUGAGUCUGCUUGUUAUGAGCGGUAAUUGCCUCUACUUUAUUUGGUGUUAUAUAUAUAUAUAUAUAUAUAAUGAUGAUCUUAUAGGACCAAAACAGAAAUAAAACAGCCUAAAUGAGUAGCUAAUGCAGUAUGUAUGCCUUUUCCAUAAAAUGUCUUCCCUACAUACAAAUGCCAAUGUUCAGGCCCCAUAAAGUGUCAACAAUGAACUGAAAUGCGUUCUUUUUAAAGCUAAUUCACCAAACCUAAACUAAGAAUACUUUGGUGUUCAGCAACUUUUAGGCUGGAAUCCAAACUUGAGAUCUGUGCGCCAAAACUUGACACGUACAGAUCGAAAGUUAGAAUUCGGCCCUCACGUGCUAGAUUUAGUUCAAACCAAAGGAGCAGAAGAAGACAACAUUUUGUGUGCUGUUUCACUGACGCUGAUGUUUGUGCUGUUUUUCCCCACAAUGAUGUUUCCUGUGGUGGCUGAGAGCGAGACAAGAGUCCAGCACUUCCUUCUCCAGGCCGGGCUCCCCUUUCAGAGAGACAAGACCUCCACAAGGCCACUUAUCAAGGUCAUUUCUGAUGGCAUGUGUAGAUACUAAAAGCCGUAAAGCUAUAGAAAUAAAUAGUCGCAAACUCGUAUAACUCCCAGCGACUCUAUUUAGUUGUAUAGCUUCCAGUUAAUUUGCCGAUAGUCAGCACCUCUACACUAAUGUUCCCUGGGGAUGCUCCAACUUGUUAUUAGAUACUAGAAGCCAAACAACACUGGGGGUGAUGUAAAAUACAAUAUGGCGAAUUCAUUUUGCUUACUGUUUUCCGGGAAGGCAUUUGUCAUAGACGCUCACCCACACUCGACCAUUAAAAAGUUGUGGUUCCAAAUGUUUCCUCUGUUAAGGAUUUAUCGUUCUAUUCGUCUACACAUGACAGACACUUUUUGGUUAACAAAGUGUCAUUACAAGCUGCACAUGUACCUGAGUGUGUUUUGGUUACGCAUAUGGCUCUAAACUGGUUCCAGAUUGCCACAAGGCGUCAGGUAGCUUGACUUGUAACUGUCAAAGUUGAACCACCAGGCGUCCGGUAGCUUGACUUGUAACUGUCAAAGUUGAACCACCAGGCGUCCGGUAGCUUGACUUGUAACUGUCAAAGUUGAACCACCAGGCGUCAGGUAGCUUGACUUGUAACUGUCAAAGUUGAACCAAGAUACUUGUUCAUUUGUUCUCUAUAUGUUCUAGGUGCCGCCCUUUUAGAGAAGAGUCUCGCAAGGAACCUCCUCUGGACAAAGGUUUCUGUUCUGGAGAGAGUUACUGUAUUUGUAAAGGUGGACUCAUCAAUAUGACAACAUCAUACAAAGCGGGGGAAAUUCCUGCAUACAGAAAUCAACAACAGCAUUCAAAUCUUCUGAGACUGACGCUUGUGGCUUUUCCCCAUGUGGGCAAAGCUCACGGGAGGGCGCAAAUGUCGCAGUCUUGGCAGAUUUUUAUUCUAUCGUUGAUGUCUAAGCAGGAAGACGGGGGGCAUUGUAUGAUGGUGCCAUUUUGCUAAGUCAAUUAUUAGUAGACAUGUCAUGACCUGACAUUUUUCAAAUAUGUUAUCAGUAACUACUUCAGUUAUUAUAAUGAGUCGGUGUUAGACACGUUGUUACCGUAAUGAGUCGGUGUUAGACACGUUGUUACCGUAAUGAGUCGGUGUUAGACACGUUAUCAUAAUGAGUCACUAUUACACGUUGUUAUCGUAAUGAGUCACUAUUACACGUCGUUACCGUAAUGAGUCGGUGUUAGACACGUUAUCGCAAUGAGUCACUAUUACACGUUAUCAUCGCAAUGAGUCACUAUUACAUGUUGUUAUCGUAAUGAGUCAGUAUUACACGUUAUCAUAAUGAGUCACUAUUACACGUUAUCGUAAUGAGUCACUAUUACACGUUGUUACCGUAAUGAGUCGGUGUUAGACACGUUAUCAUAAUGAGUCACUAUUACACGUUGUUAUCGUAAUGAGUCACUAUUACACGUUGUUACCGUAAUGAGUCGGUGUUAGACACGUUAUCGCAAUGAGUCACUAUUACACGAUAUCAUCGUAAUGAGUCACUAUUACACGUUAUCAUCGUAAUGAGUCAGUAUUACACGUUGUUAUCGUAAUGAGUCAGUAAUACACGUUGUUAUCGUAAUGAGUCAGUAUUACACGUUGUUAUCGUAAUGAGUCAGUAUUACACGUUGUUAUCGUAAUGAGUCAGUAUUACACGUUGUUAUCGUAAUGAGUCAGUAUUACACGUUGUUAUCGUAAUGAGUCAGUAUUACACGUUGUUAUCGUAAUGAGUCAGUAUUACACGUUAUCGUAAUGAGUCAGUAUUACACGUUGUUAUCGUAAUGAGUCAGUAUUACACGUUGUUAUCGCAAUGAGUCAGUAUUACACGUUGUUAUCGUAAUGAGUCAGUUUUACACGUUGUUAUCGUAAUGAGUCAGUAUUACACGUUGUUAUCGUAAUGAGUCAGCAUUAGACACAUUGGGUGACAUUCUGGACCCAUUAGACUGAGAUUUGUUCAUGAACUCGGAUGUUUUGCUUAUGGAUUCUGAGAAAGUAUAUGGAAAUCAUGAUAAAUUGUAUUUAGUUCGAUUGAACUUUGGUUAUAAUGUGGCUAAAUCUAUGCCAAAGUGAUCAACAAUGAAGGUAAUACUUUUUCUUGUUAUUGAUAAAUAUGGCCAGAUUCAUGUUAUCACUGGUAACAUUGCAAUUUUGUGAUUUGUUUUUCAGGGUAAGUCAGAACUUCUCUUCCCUGCCUUGGUUCCUUCAGUCUCCUCUUUCUGCUUUGGUGCCCAUGUAAGACUGGAGACCAGGGAAGAUGUUCAACGAAUGAGCCCCUGUGGAUAUUUCUCAAAUAGAAAAUGUAAUGUUAUGUAACACAUUUGUCUACAUCCUUCACUUUAUUCAAUGUAAUCUUGUACACUACUGUUUCCUUAUGAUAUAACAUCAAUGUGCAUGCUUUGUCCUUAAUUGAGAACAUAACGUGUUCAUUUUUCAUUUGGCGUAUUAAUAUAAUAAACAUAGGCACAGACUAUCUGAAGAUUUUGAGUUUCUUUGGUAACCGUUUACUUGGACGCUGCCAUAGCCUACAUUAAUCGCGUUGCCAUAAUGACAAGAUGUCACAAAAACAAUCAUGACUUAGCCUGUCUGCUUAAUGACAACUGACUUAAAACAAACAUGACUCAACCAUGGUUUGAAUUUAAGGGGUGCUAGAAUAUGAACUUAAACAGUCAGUGAGGACACCCCAAAGAGUUUGUAUAAUUUGAACCCUGAACAGAGUGUUAUUUAGGCAUGCUAACUCCCACGAGUCAACUAGCUUCCAGUACCUACGUAGAUAACAUUGCCUGAACUUUGACAUGUUAUAUCGUCAUGACACCAAAGGGUUCAGGUAAGGUCAAACGAGAUAUGUUGUACAUUCAUUGACUGGUACACUAGUUCACUUUUAGCUGUCAUGUUCUACUUUGAGAACAUUGUGCAGCGAUCAGGAACACCCUGUCAAAGGAAAAGGCUUUCCGAAUGCACAGUCUGUGUAAUCCCCAAUUUGUUAAGCUUUUCUCAAGUCCCUUGCUUUAGUUCUCUUUGCAGAGCUUGGUGGUGACACUCUGUGGGAGGUCAAUGUACCUUUCUUGCUAGCUUUGGCUUUUCUGAUUUUGGUGCAACCUGUAGGUUUUGGUGUUGAUCCCUCACCCCAAGACUGGACCUGGACAAGGGUCUCUGUCCUGUUUAGUUUGGCUGAGCUGGAACAGGGCCUCUUAAAGACUGUAUGUGGCCUUGCACCCACCCUGAUGCAAUUCUGUUUGUAAGGAGCACAAGUCGGCCUAGUGCGUGAGUCUCGAGACCGGCUCAGUUCCGUAACACUGGACACAACUGAAUCUGCUUUCCUCAAGCGAGAAGUGCUCCUGGUCAAGCUGAUGGCCGUAGCCGGCCGACACCGUCCCGUUUUGGUCAGCUCUCGCUGUACUGUGGCCGCCUGCAGAUCCUCCAUCUCAGAUAGUCUGCUUACGAUGGCAACCAAUGAAGGCUCUCGCAUGUGCAGGCUCUGGCGACUUUCCCAAUCGGCCGUGCUAGGCAGACUCCGGGUCAGAUCCAGCACUUUCAGAGAUGCUGGGAGCACCUCCGCAAAUGGUGACUGGGCCUCCGAAGACUCCGAGAAGUGCAAGUCGGAGUCCAGGUCUAAGUCGAAAGGUUCAGGCCUCAACCGGAGCUCUACUUCGGGCGUGACCCACUCGUGGGCCUGGGCGCCCCCUUUCUCUUGGUCGGAUAGAUCGCUGGCGUCAGAGUGGAUGUCUGCCGGUGUGCUGCUACCGUUUUGCUUUGACCCAUCGGUGAUGGUUCCUGACCCAAGCCCUGCUCUGUCAUUCAUUGGGCCCCAACAGUAGAAUGUCUUUACCCUCCUCUCCCCAUUGUACCUUCUCCUGUCCCUCGAAUUGAUAGUGUAAGCCGCCUGGACAGGUGUGAUUUUCAACAGAGACUCACUGGAGCUUGUGUCCCGGCCCUCCCCUUGGUUAUGUUUGGUGAAACUCGGGUGCCGUAGCCUGCUGUUGAGAUGAUGGAUGUUGAUUGUUGGACGUCUGUGGAUCAUCCUGAACUGGGCUCUCUGUGAUUGGCUCUGGCUAAAGAUAAGAGGGAAUAAAAAUAAGUAGUAUGGCGAUCUUAAUAAAUAAUGUCAUAAAACACGUAUUUUAAUUUCAAACUCCAUAAACCUGAAAGGUGUUUUCAUUUACACCUUUGGUAAUACUGACAACCACGUGGUGUUUUUAAAGUAGUUUAUCGAAGCAAAACGGAUACCUAAAAUCUGUCCUAGUGGAUUGACUAUAGCCAAG
This is a long non-coding RNA of Oncorhynchus tshawytscha (Chinook salmon), 5148 nucleotides long. The record is from Ensembl. NCBI's taxonomy places the organism in Eukaryota, Metazoa, Chordata, Actinopteri, Salmoniformes, Salmonidae.